UACGUAGGGGGCAAGCGUUGUCCGGAAUCAUUGGGCGUAAAGCGCGUGUAGGCGGCCCGAUAAGUCCGCUGUGAAAGUCCAGGGCUCAACCCUGGAAUGCCGGUGGAUACUGUCGGGCUCGAGUCCGGAAGAGGCGAGUGGAAUUCCUGGUGUAGCGGUGAAAUGCGCAGAUAUCAGGAGGAACACCAAUGGCGAAGGCAGCUCGCUGGGACGGUACUGACGCUGAGGCACGAAGGUCAGGGGAGCAAACGGG
This 253-nucleotide ribosomal RNA is filed under the name uncultured bacterium. Its description in RNAcentral is "partial 16S ribosomal RNA". It matches the Rfam family "Bacterial small subunit ribosomal RNA", at positions 524 to 776 of the family's 1533-position model. The record is from RNAcentral.